Long non-coding RNA from Malaya genurostris, 1809 nucleotides. RefSeq lists it as uncharacterized. Lineage: Eukaryota; Metazoa; Arthropoda; Insecta; Diptera; Culicidae. The transcript is spliced from 3 exons. The record is from RefSeq and is a predicted model, not a curated record.
AUUGUCAUGAUUCAAAUAAGUCAGCCGCCGCUUGAAAUAAUUCCCUUCCGUGUAAAAAGUUAAGCAUCUCUAAUCAGAUGAAGAAUGAACACCGGCGGCUAAUCUACAUUUCUUUGCGCAUACAAACUUUUUCUCUUCCUUAUAUAACCGAUCGGUCUCACUAUAUUGCAAAACCAAUACGAAUGGUUAGGUUUCAGCCUCCGAAGAGUCCUCUUUCGCGUAGUCUUAUCAAUGUUCGCCAGAUAACGAUUUGAACGCAAAAAGGGUAUUGGCGCGAGAUGGUUGAAUGCAUAAGAUUCGAGAGGGAAUGAGCUAACGAAUCUUAAAACUAUUGUCCAAGAAGUUCGGUUUUCGAAAAUACGAAUCUUACUUCGGUAAAAUUACGUACUUCCGGUUAUCUAAGACUGAAAUUCGGCAUUCUGAGGGUUUUAGGGAAAAGAUCUAAUCCAUUUCCAUCUAGACCGUGGAAGAGGCUAGAGUGCGUGUUUUUACUUUUGUUCCGCGGUGCGUGUUAGAAGGUGUUGCGUUAAUAUUAGCAGUAGAAAGUGCGGGAAAAGAUCGUGUGCGUUGGAAGGAAAUUAUAACAAAGCCGUGCGACGGCUUUUUAUUCCCUACUUUAGACGCUCUUCGGCUCGCCGCACCGUUCUUCAUCCAGCGACGCGCUCUAGACCCCACGCUCUGGCUUGGAAAUUCUGGCAAUCUCCGUCAAAAUCGCCAGAAGGGCGAAGUUCGUCAUUUUCCGCCCAUCAAAGCCACACGUCACAACCAACCGGUGUGCACGUUUUUUGUUGCUGACAGCAGUCCGGCGUACCGACACUGUCAACAGUUACCCACGAAGGACGUCCAGCCGUAAACCCGCUCCGGCGUCGGCAUACUGAAACGCCGUCAGCGCAGAAUCAUUCGUAUCGACGCCAGCAUCGUCAUCAUUCGGCGGAGCGUCGCAAUACAGGCAGGUAGCAGCGAAGAAAGCUGUAAGUACGCUAUAAUUAAAUCCAUGCGCAUGGUUAAAAGGGGGUAGCCUAGACACCCACCUAAAAGUGAGCUUUAAAUCUAGUAUUAUGGCACCUUAACGAAGCAAGCUAGAUAUCCACCCGCACACAGUUAGGUAUCAAUUAGUAUAGGCAACACCGAGAUGGAAACCUAGGUUAGGAUUACGAAUUGCUAAAGUUACUUAAUAAAUAUAAAUAUGUUUCUGUUCUUUCGAUAAAUGAUGUGUAUAUUGUUCAGGUAGAUAGCUGCUAUAGUUAAACAGAUGUUACUGGUUUGAGGAGGUAUCUCAUGUUUCGCGUCGUAAUAAUUGUGUAGUUUUUGUGGUUUACUCCGAGUUGGACUACUUGGGAAUCUUAGUCCCACCACUCGCGUUUCGGAUACGGUUUAGGGUUCUGGGUGGACGAUUUCCUCCAGUGAUGAUACGCGCGAGUUGGUGUUCUUAGGUUAUCUGGAUAGACAAACGAAUUUCUUGGGUUUUGUUGCGGUAUAGUUGAUUGUUGAACUGAGUACCUUUCGGAUCGGUUGGGUUUGCCAGAUCGUUCCCCUAAACUCUUUUAUAACGACCCGCCCUGAGGCUGGGUUUCUGGUCGGGCAACCCUAGGCACGACAAGUGGUCCUCGAAAGAGGUGGCGCUUAAACCAUUUGUUCGGAUAGGUGGAGCGAUUAGACAGACUGAUAUUGGUAGCAUCGUCGUGCACGCUACAUAGUGUCCAUGCAAAGUUUUGAAAUGUAUCAUUAUUUGGUAACUUUACAAUUUAUUAGAAUUGGGUUGAUCGAAAAAUCAAUCAAAAAAUUUAAAGAUUUGUUCAAAUUUAAUAU